Molecule: ribosomal RNA, 301 nt
Filed under: uncultured bacterium
Lineage: Bacteria
Description: partial 16S ribosomal RNA
Rfam family: Bacterial small subunit ribosomal RNA
Source: RNAcentral
CAGCCGCCACGGUAAUACGUAUGUCACAAGCGUUAUCCGGAUUUAUUGGGCGUAAAGCGCGUCUAGGUGGUUAUAUAAGUCUGAUGUGAAAAUGCAGGGCUCAACUCUGUAUUGCGUUGGAAACUGUGUAACUAGAGUACUGGAGAGGUAAGCGGAACUACAAGUGUAGAGGUGAAAUUCGUAGAUAUUUGUAGGAGUGCCGAUGGGGAAGCCAGCUUACUGGACAGAUACUGACGCUGAAGCGCGAAAGCGUGGGUAGCAAACAGGAUUAGAUACCCCCGUAGUCCCUGUCUCUUAUACC